UACGUAGGGUCCGAGCGUUGUCCGGAAUUAUUGGGCGUAAAGGGCUCGUUGGCGGUUCGUCACGUCGGGAGUGAAAACUCGGGGCUUAACCCCGAGCCUGCUUCCGAUACGGGCAGACUAGAGGUAGGCAGGGGAGAGCGGAACUCCUGGUGUAGCGGUGGAAUGCGCAGAUAUCAGGAAGAACACCGGUGGCGAAGGCGGCUCUCUGGGCCUUACCUGACGCUGAGGAGCGAAAGCGUGGGUAGCGAACAGG
This 253-nucleotide ribosomal RNA is filed under the name uncultured bacterium. RNAcentral describes it as "partial 16S ribosomal RNA". It matches the Rfam family "Bacterial small subunit ribosomal RNA", at positions 524 to 776 of the family's 1533-position model. The record is from RNAcentral.